Catharus ustulatus (Swainson's thrush) is the source of this 1550-nucleotide long non-coding RNA. RefSeq lists it as uncharacterized. The transcript is spliced from 2 exons. NCBI's taxonomy places the organism in Eukaryota, Metazoa, Chordata, Aves, Passeriformes, Turdidae. The record is from RefSeq and is a predicted model, not a curated record.
AGUCAAAAUGGUGCGGCUUGUAUUCGUGAAAUUACUGUAAGUUUUAAAUUAUGGUGUUUUCUUCCUUUUUUUACUAUGGACAGCUGCUCUCAGAUUCUGUAUUGAACAUACAUAAACUGUGUACAGCUUGUCCAUGAAAUGUUACCUUUUUAGUUUGGCAGAUGGAUCUAACUUGACUAAUAUUUAAGAGCUGCUACAGAAACUGAUAUUUUUAAAGGAGUGUUGUAAGUGUCAGUCUUGGAUAUUAUAGGGCUUAUUUCUGGAAGACAUUGAAGUUUCAUCUGUUUGACCUGUGUGUUCUCCUCACUUUUAACAGGAUUUUUCUCUUACUAUUUUUCUUUUUGUCCCUGUGUUAACUGUAAGCUGUGCUGUUAUGACCUGCCAGUAUCCAGCUAUCAACAGCCGUUUGUUGCUUCUUACAGAUGUUAUUCAGAUAAUCUCCACAGUGGAAUGGUGUUGAGGAAAGAGACAUCUGGAUGACCAGGAGAAUUUAAAUGAUAUAAGGUGAAAACUGAGAAAUUAUGAAUGUUGCCUGUGAACACAUCAAAGAGACAAACUCUGUCAGGAAGGGCAGCUCUUUGGUGUGAAGGGCAAAACUGGCUUAAAGAGGAAUGUUUCCAGGAGUAAAUUUGGGCCAGGAUAUAAUUCCAAACCAUGGAAGUGGUAUCUUCCCAAGAAGAGUGAUGGGGGCAAAGACCACAGGUAGGUGUAAGGUGGUGCUCAAGGAAUCCUGUUACUGAGGAGUUCCCUUUUAGUUCUCUGAUCCAACACCCUAUAAACAGCAUAUUCUUUCAGGGUUUGCAGUUUGUGAGGAAGCAUCCAAAGUAGCAGGACAAUAAUGUAUUGAUGCAACAAUGCCAUACAAGACCAGCAGGUCCAGAGAUGUGAUACUUCCCCUCUACUCUGAUCUUGAGACCUCCACCUGGAGUACUGGCUCCAGCUCUGGGGUCCUCAGCACAAGAACGUCAUGGAACUUUUGGAGCAGGUCCAGAGGAGGGCUACAGAGAUGAUUAGAGGGCAGGAGCACCUCUCCUGUGAUGACAGACUGAGAGAGCUGUGGUUGUUCAGCCUGGAGAAGGCUCUGAGGAGCCUUGGAGCAGCUUUCCAGUACCUAAAAGGGACCAAAAAGAGAGCUGAAGAGAGACUUUUUACAGGGACAUGCAGCAAUUGCACAAUGGUGAAUGGCUUUAAUCUGAGAAUAUUUUGACUAGAUAUGAGAAAGCAAUUCUUUGCUGUGGGGCACUGGAACAGGCUGUCCAGAGUAGUUGUGGAUGGAUGGAUGGAUGGAUGCCCCAUCCCUGGCUGCGUUCAAGGUGGUUGGAUGCAGCUUUGAACAACAUGGUCUAGUGAAAGGUGUCCCUGCCCCUGGCAGGGGAUUGAAACUGGAUGAUCUUUGAGGUCUGUUCCAACCCAAACUAUUUGAUGGUUCUAAACCUCACUGAACUCUCAGGGCACGUGUAAGAGAUGAAAUGUAGUUAUCAGACUUGGAAUCUGUCCUCAGCACUGUAAGUAAUGCUUGCCUUUGUGAAAAAUAAAAUGAGAUUCCCGAA